This 509-nucleotide ribosomal RNA is filed under the name uncultured bacterium. Its description in RNAcentral is "bacterial SSU rRNA". It matches the Rfam family "Bacterial small subunit ribosomal RNA", at positions 791 to 1304 of the family's 1533-position model. The record is from RNAcentral.
UAGUCCACGCCGUAAACGAUGAUCACUCGUUGUUGGCAAUACAUCGUCAGCGACUGAGCGAAAGCAUUAAGUGAUCCACCUGGGGAGUACGGUCGCAAGAUUGAAACUCAAAGGAAUUGACGGGGGCCCGCACAAGCGGAGGAACAUGUGGUUUAAUUCGAUGAUACGCGAGGAACCUUACCUGGGCUUAAAUGCAAAACGACGUACCGGGAAACUGGUACUCCCUUCGGGGCGGAUUGCAAGGUGCUGCAUGGCUGUCGUCAGCUCGUGCCGUGAGGUGUCGGGUUAAGUCCCAUAACGAGCGCAACCCUUAUCGUUAGUUGCCAUCGAGUAAUGUCGGGAACUCUAACGAAACUGCCGGUGUAAACCGUGAGGAAGGUGGGGAUGACGUCAAAUCAGCACGGCCCUUAUGUCCAGGGCUACACACGUGUUACAAUGGCCAGUACAAAGGGCAGCUACCAGGUGACUGGAUGCUAAUCUCCAAAACUGGUCUUAGUUCGGAUUGGAGU